This is a long non-coding RNA of Misgurnus anguillicaudatus (oriental weatherfish), 762 nucleotides long. RefSeq lists it as uncharacterized. The record is from RefSeq and is a predicted model, not a curated record. Lineage: Eukaryota; Metazoa; Chordata; Actinopteri; Cypriniformes; Cobitidae.
ACGCCCCUGACUACGCGUGGGUUGACACAGAUUCUGACUGAGAGUCACAGCCUCAGAGGCAACGUAAACAAGCGUUAUAUUUCUGUAUAAACGAUGGUGUCUGUACUGCCUUACCACUUCGAGCUCGAUCCAGAGAGUUCAGACGGCCGUUACGAUAUAAACGAUCUCCGUCAAUGAAUGCGAUUGGAUUUAACUUUUUUAGGUGUCCUUAGCUCUGCCAGAAUGCUAAACGAAGACGAAAAUGUGUUGCAAAGACAUCCAAAAGGUUUUAAGGAGAAUGCAACAGGUUCCAGGGCCUCUUACCUGCGUGAUUCAUCAUCCAGGUUUUGCACAAAUUGUCUAAAUCCCUACACACAGAACAUUUAUUGUACCGACUAUAAGCCUUUGAGGCGCAGGACUAGAAUAUGCUUGGAGCUUCCUGAUCGGAAUGUUGGCUUCCGACGACCCCUGCACUGAAGAUGGCAUGCAAUCACGUCCUCCUUUGAAGGUCUCUCAAACUGUGAUGCCAGGUCCAUCGGAAUCGGAGUUUCCUUCAGCUUAUCUUCAAAUACCUCAGCAAACACAAGCCUGAUCACAUCAUCCACAUAACUGUACAAAUAUUGCAGUCAAUAAAUCUUUUGUUUUGAUAAUUUAUUUCCCUGCUUCAUACAUUAAGUUUUUAAUUAUGAAUGUAUUUGAAAUAAAACAUUACUGCUUACAGUAUGUCACUUGUGUGUUUUGGGAACAUAGCCUUGUACUUUCCCUCUCCUGCUUUUGUUACGG